Hibiscus syriacus is the source of this 1017-nucleotide long non-coding RNA. RefSeq lists it as uncharacterized. The transcript is spliced from 3 exons. Lineage: Eukaryota; Viridiplantae; Streptophyta; Magnoliopsida; Malvales; Malvaceae. The record is from RefSeq and is a predicted model, not a curated record.
UGGCUUAGGCGAUUAGGUGCUGUUCUUGCAUGUGGAUUGGCAGUCUGAAGCUGCUCGAAUGAUAUUCAACAGUUGUUAUCCAAAUGCAGAGGCGGGGUUUCAAAUGGUUCAAGUAAGAACUCGCAAGAAGUGGUCAGAGGAAUUCUCAGCUCUUUGCAUGAGACAAGAUAUCCAAGCCCACGAGGGGGCAAUCUUAACGAUGAAAUUUAGCCCUGAUGGUCAGUACCUAGCAAGUGCGGGUGAAGAUGGUAUUGUGCGGGUGUGGCAAGUUGUGGAGUCUGAAAGAUCAGGGAAUUCUGACAUUCAUGAUGUAAAUCCUUCAUGUCUACUUCCGAGUAAAUAGUUUUUCUGAGUUAGUUCCUCUACAUGCGGACCAAGAGAAAAAAGAAAAUCAUCAAGUGUGAAGAAAAAUUCAGACUCGAUCUGUGUCAUUUUCCCUCAGAAAGUUUUUCAAAUCUUGGAUAAACCUAUCCAUGAGUUCCGUGGGCAUCGUGGUGAGGUCCUGGACCUCUCCUGGUCAAAGAAUAAGCAUAUUUAUCAUCCUCAGUUGAUAAGACAGUUCGCCUGUGGCAAGUCGGUUAUGACAAAUGCCAAAAAGUAUUUUCCCAUAAUAAUUAUGUAACAUGCGUUCAGUUUAAUCCAGUGGAUGAUGAUUACUUCAUAAGUGGUUCCAUAGAUGGAAAGUGCGUACAUGGGCAAUUCCUGAUUGUCAAGUUGCUGAUUGGAUUGAUGUCACAGAUAUUGUUACGGCUGUGUUACCGUCCUGAUGGAAAGGUUUGAUGGAGCUCUUCUUAAUCAUUUUAUUAGCGAUCAGUUUCAGGAUUUUCAGUUCAUUAAUCUUUUUCCUUCUACAGGUGCAGUUUUUGGCAGAAUGAAUGGCAAUUGCCGCUUCUAUGAUGCUUCAGGUAUGUAUUUGUUUUCCAGGUGUGUUUUGAAAAUUUGUUUUAUUGUUACUUUCGAAAAGCAUUUUUUUUGUUCACAUCUCUGUAAUGGUAUUCUAGGGUCUUGCGACUUCUA